This 109-nucleotide ribosomal RNA is filed under the name Helianthus annuus (common sunflower). The record is from RNAcentral. Lineage: Eukaryota; Viridiplantae; Streptophyta; Magnoliopsida; Asterales; Asteraceae.
UUUUAGGCGAAUUGGUUGUGGAGCACAUGAAAACUUCACCGUUAAACAUGAUUAGGUGGGGGUAGUACUAAGAUGGGUGACCUCCUAGGAAGUCUAUAUCGAGUUAACC